Molecule: ribosomal RNA, 268 nt
Filed under: Staphylococcus aureus
Lineage: Bacteria; Bacillati; Bacillota; Bacilli; Caryophanales; Staphylococcaceae
Description: partial 23S ribosomal RNA
Rfam family: Bacterial large subunit ribosomal RNA
Source: RNAcentral
GGUUAAGUUAUUAAGGGCGCACGGCGAAUGCCUUGGCACUAGGAGCCGAAGAAGGACGGCACUAACACCGAUAUGCUUCGGGGAGCUGUAAGUGAGCUUUGAUCCGGAGAUUUCCGAAUGGGGGAACCCACUACGUUUAAUCGCGUAGUAUCUUGACGUGAAUACAUAGCGUCUUGAAGGCAGACCCAGGGAACUGAAACAUCUAAGUACCUGGAGGAAGAGAAAGAAAAAUCGAUUCCCUGAGUAGCGGCGAGCGAAACGGGAAGAG